AAGACGCCUCCACAAGAACAAAAGAAUGAGCAAAGUAAGACGCCAUCCGAAGAACAAAAUAAGGAGCAAAACAAUAUGCCCCCGGAGGAACAAAGUAAGACGCCUCCAGAGGAACAAAAUGAGCAAAAGAAGACGCUUUCAAAUGAACAAAAUAAGAUUCCUCCGGAAGAACAAAACAAAAUGUCUCCAGAAGAACAGAAAAAGGAACAAAAAGACCUUACUUCUAUAGUAAAAAGUUGGUUCUAAUGAAACUAGGAUACUGUCGGUUUUUCGUGAUGCCAGAGAUUCAGAGAAGGUAGAAAGGAGAGGUGAAACAGUUUACAUAGCUGACAAGCAAAACCCCAAAAGGAAGGACCUGGAGGACCUGGAGGACCAGAAGGCAUUGCUUGAAAUGUAUUAAUUCAUAGAGUUUUUCUCUUUCAGUAGAGUUGUUGCUUCAUGUAUGGAUCCAAAAGCAUAUGAUUUUUCUGUACUUAUAAUCCCUUUCUAAAUAGAAAUUUUUUUACCAA
This is a long non-coding RNA of Rosa chinensis, 509 nucleotides long. RefSeq lists it as uncharacterized. The record is from RefSeq and is a predicted model, not a curated record. NCBI's taxonomy places the organism in Eukaryota, Viridiplantae, Streptophyta, Magnoliopsida, Rosales, Rosaceae. The transcript is spliced from 2 exons.